CAAAAAUGUGGGGGCAGGACAGACAUGAACCAGAGUGAUGGCUGUGAGCACUGGAUGUGGCUCAGCCUCGGCCACCCACCUGCCAUGAGCCCGGACCGUCUCCAGGGGCGAGGUCUGUGCCCACUGCCACCAGCCGACCCCUUCUGGGGGGCACUGGGCUGCGGCUCACCCCCGGCCUAAAACCCCAGCCCAGCCAUCCUCCUCCUUGAGGCACGAUCUGUGCCAGCACUGCCAGACCCUGGGGCCGGUGGGCAGCAGCCAGGAGUGGGGCACUGGGGGCACCCUCAUCCCCUCCCCAGACACAGCACCGGGCACGGGGCACUGCCCGGUCCCCAACGUGCUCCAGGCUGGGUCUCACACAAGGCUCCAUUCAUCCCGGACUGGGCAAUUAGAGGGGGAAGGGGCCAAUGCUGUCACCUAACACGGGUACAAGUUAUCCCUGCUCUUGUGUAACCUGUUGCAUAAAGUGGGGGCGGGCAGGGGGUGCCGCCAGCGGCAGGGGCUAUAAAGGUGGGUGUGGGAAGGUGCAGGUCCAUGAAGCCUCUCCUGCCCGUGUCCAGCCUCCGGACCAAGGAUGACAGUGGUGCUGCCCUGCCUGGUGCUGGCCCUGCUCUGCCUGCUGCGGGCAGGGGCCGAGGUCCCCGUGCAGCCAGAUUUCACCGCCGAGAAGUUUGCAGGGAUGUGGCAUGUUGCAGCCGCAGCUUCCAACUGCUCCGUGUUUCUGAAGAUGAAGGAUGGGAUGAAGUCGUCCAUCGCCACCAUCAGCUUCACACCAGCAGGGGAGCUGUCUAUGAAGCUUGUCUGGCCGCUGGUGGACGGAUGCCAAAAGUUUGAGCUGCUCUUCCAGCAAAGUGGGCAGUCAGGGCACUACGUGGCAGCACAAGAGAGGAAGGACCUGCGUGUGAUGGAGACGGACUACAGCCACUAUGCCAUUGUGCAUGAGCUCCAGCAGAAGGGGCAGGAGACCAACACCGGGCUGCAGCUCCUCAGUGGGUGUCGGAGUGGGAACGGGCACCCAUGGCUUCCCAGGGAGGGACACGGGCACUGUCGAGGGGCAGGGGCUGGGCUCCCCACUGCUGCCCAGGGCCACCAACAUCAGCACCCAAUGUGCUGGCACUCAGGGAAUUAAUUUUGGGUUGAAUGAAACCUUGCACCAAAAAUAUCCCCGGUUGAUUGCGGUUUGACCCGAAGCCCCCUGCAGCAUGCUAGUCCAGCUGCAGACCCCCAGCCCUGCCAGCCGCCCCGUACCACCCCAGGCAGGUAGGUUGCUCAUCCCAAGGGGCCUGUGACCCUUUGCCACCAGCCGAGGGCAGCUGUAGGGUGCCUGGUGUCCACCCUGCACCUCCAUGGCUUCACCUUUGCCCUUCCCUGGGGUCCCAUCUCUGCCCCACGGGAGCCAGACCCCUGGCGUGGGGCUCGCUGCUGGGUCCCCCCCACUCACCAGCCCCUGCUUUGGGUGUCUGGCUGCAGUGAGGGAGCAGGACGCGAGCCCCCAGCUCCUGCAGAAGUUCAAAGAGCUCAUCCCCACUGUGGGCCUGACCAAGGACAUGCUGGUCAUCCUGCCCAAGUCAGAUCAGUGCACCGAGGCCAUCAGGUGAGCGUGGUGGCGGAAGCCGG
RNA transcript from Grus americana (Whooping crane), 1617 nucleotides. It is a transcript of the gene named lipocalin-15-like, with no coding region annotated. Lineage: Eukaryota; Metazoa; Chordata; Aves; Gruiformes; Gruidae. The record is from RefSeq and is a predicted model, not a curated record. The transcript has 5 exons.